Molecule: long non-coding RNA, 4201 nt
Organism: Alligator mississippiensis (American alligator)
Lineage: Eukaryota; Metazoa; Chordata; Crocodylia; Alligatoridae
Exons: 3
Source: RefSeq, a predicted model, not a curated record
UCCCAAAAUGGGAAUAUCAAGCCCUGGUCCUGUGCUACAUGACUCCAGGACAGCAUUUGUCCCAGACUCCCAGUAUCAUGCAGUGAUCCAGGUUUUCCAUUCACCAUGGAAAAAUGCAGGAAAUGGGUUUCUUCUUGCAGGCUGGCACAGUUCUAGCCUGCAAGGGGCUGCAGGGGGUGCCACAUGCAUGUGUGCAUGCGUGCACAAGAAUGUGGCCAGGAAUUCAGUCCCAGGCAGCAGUCGAGAGCAGCUCCCCCAGCUGCCUGCAGUAACUUCAGGCAAGCUUCAAGGCUCUGCUAAGUUGAAUUCAGAGUGAACAUUGCCACCAUGUGGGAGAAAGGAGUAACCAGGAAAAGUAAUGCAAAAGAGACUAUUAAGCUGUAUAUUCUUCUAAAUCCUAUAUGAAAGUUAGGAGAGAACUAAUUUGGGCACUUGUUAAAAUUUGCCCUUAAAAACCAGUGAGUGCAUACACCAGACAAAGUUGAGGCUUCUUGGUGAUACAAUCAGAAAUAGGGUGUACGUGUUCCUGCGAAACGGUGCAUAACUUAAAUUUGCAUAAAGCGAACCUACUUUACAAUGUAACAAACAGGGAUACAGUCCAAAACCAUGACUGUACUAACUCCUAGACCCAUUUCUACCACUCUUACAAGGCAAUUUUGGUACUCGCCAGCGACAGAUGGUACACACAAGCACAGGGUGAUGGUGAAUGUUACCGUAACGGGGAUGGCAACUACAGAAACACAUAUCGCAGACAACGAGUGAGGAGCACAGAUCCAUACAGGAGACUGUAUUUUGGUGCACAUCACUCCCACCAUGCCCUGCACAAAGGAGCUGACUGAGAGCUUCCAUCACACUGAUCACAUAAGAGUGAAUUUAUCUCGCAUAUCACGAAUUUUUGGUAUAAAAAGGGUCAUCGCAUAAGAGCAAAUUCGUACAUACAGAACCUGCAUAAAACAAGGGAAACUUGUAUUUGUGCUAAGUACUGUGGCCAGUCAAAUAGCUUUUCAGUAUUGACCAUGCAAAAGUACUUGUAUCAGUUGCUCUUAGUAAGUGACAAGCAGAAAGAAGAAAAGGAACAAGGAAGAAACUUGGAUGAAGCUGGGUUGUGACUCCUGAUAUUCUUAAAGAUUUCAUAGACUUUAGGGCUGGAAGGGACCUCGGAAGAUCAUCGAGUCCAGCCCCCUGCCCAAAGGGCAGGAAGUCAGCUGGGGUCAUAGGAUCCCAGCAAGAUAAGCAUCCAGUUUCAUCUUGAAGGUGUUCAAUGAAGAUUAACUUCUAUCCACCCAUAGGGGAAAAUAUACAGGCUUGUAAUCUUGGAAUUUAAAUUUAUCUGAACAACUUAAAUCCUUUCAGUUUACGGCAGUUGACUUUUCUUGGCUGUGCUUGUAUAACCAUCGGUCCCUGUUAACUGGAUUGGACACCAGGAAAAAAGGCAUUUUAGUAAUUGAGUCAAAGGCAAAGACCCAAAUAUCUGAAUUGAAGAGAAAAGAAUCCUGGCAAUGUUUCUUGGGUGUGGGAGGCUGAUUUCACUGCAGUGACUAACUAUCUAAAUGCCUAAAUCAGGAGGAACACUGGGGCCAUAUUGUCCCUCAUAUCUGGAAUACCUACAUACUCUUAAAUAAAUGCACAGAGAUAAAGACUGAUGGGGAGUACAUUUCCACUUCCUGGUCUUAUGGAUUUCAUGUACUUUGGUCCCAAUCUUGAUCUAAAUAGGAACCUAAAGGCUAAUUAUGAGUUUGGUGUAUGGUUUCUGGAUGAUGAUUGUAGAACAAUAGUAACCAUGGGUGCCUAUUCAUAUGUCCCAGGGUGGGGGAGGAGGCAUUUUAAUUAGACCUGCAGUGUCUCACGUAUUCAGUAUCCUAUGUUUCAAAAUGGUAGCAGGGGCACUUUAACUAAAGCUCACUGAAGCUCACUGCCAUUGUGAAACAAGGGAUACUGAAUACACGAGAUGCUGGAGCAUUCUGAUUAGAACACCGCAGCGUGCUCAAUUAAUUGAAUCUGUUCUGACAUGUUUUAAUUGGAACACAUCUGAGCAUGUGCAAAAAUGCCCCGUUAUGUCAAUGUUGCUAGGGAUAUUGACACGAAGCUGUAGGAACUAGUUCUCAUACUAAUGGAAAACUGCUGCACACAAGCAGAAUCUUCUGCUGGCCAGUCUGAAUAGGUUAAAAUGGCUGUGUCAAUGGCUCCAGACUUCAUAGACAAGACCCUAUCUAUGCUACUUCCACAGUUGUCAUCAGGACUGUUACAAUACCAGUAUUCUCCUAGUCUAGUUUCUUUACACAUCCUUGGGAGGGGCAGGGGUGCACUUUAAUUAAAGUGCUCACAACAUCUUGCAUUCAGUUUCCCUGUGCUUCAAAAUGGCAGCAGGCUUAUUUUAAAUAAAGUUAAUUUGCUCUUUACUUAAAGCACCCCUGCCACCAUUUUGAAGCAUGGGGGCGCUGAAUACAUGAGACUUGGAUGCUGCUGGAGCUCACUAAUUAGCACACUCCAGUGGACUCGAUUAAUCUAGUCUGCUCUGAUGUGCUGUAAGAGUGCAUCAGAGCAGAUUCCCUGCAUGUGUACAGGCAUCCUUAGUCUUUAAACGCAGAUUAAGAACAAAUCUCAUGGAAAAACUUUCCUAAUUGUAAGAACAGUAAGCUAAUGGAACAAUCUGCCUAAAAAAUUGAGGAAUCUCUUUCAUCAGAGGCUUUCAAGGAUGGGCUGAAAAGGCAUAUGGGACAGUUUAGGAUGUGCACACAGGUUAGACUAGAUGACCUUUUGGGGGCCCAUCCAACCCUAUGAUUCUCUCCUAGUUCUAAAAUAUGGCUAAGACCAUGUCUAGACUCCAAAUUGACAGAAGGUUGCAACUGUUCCUUUAAAGACACAAAGUGAGGGCAGUUUUCUCAAAGGUGAUGAAUCAAGCAUGUUUAAGUUGGUAUCUCACAGACUUAAAAAAAUUUGAUUAUAGUGUAUUACAAAAUGCUUCUAUUUAGGAAAGACAAACUAAAUGGUAACUGGAAUGUCUAAUAGUAUUGGGUUGUUGAUUGUAUUUCUCUGUUUUCCCUUAAUGAGUAGGGUUUACGAUGGACUAAUUUUAUGGAAUUGAAACACUGCCAGAACGUGGACAUACAAGGAGUUUAUGCAACAAAUGGGGAGAGUUUAUUGACACAGGUGAAGGCAAUGUCAGUAAGUAGAGAGCUGAGGGAACAGACUCUGUAGGUCUAAUGCUAUUUUAUACUAGCUACUUGACCUUGUUUGGCCACACAAAGAAUAAACUAGAGAUCACCCAUACAAAAGUGCCCAUAGUAGGGGGAUAGUGUUGUGCUCACACCUCUUCUUCUGGGAUGCUGGAGCUUGGUCCUUCCCUAGCAGGGCAGACUUGGCAGCCAGGGGUGGAUUAAGAUUCAUUGGGGCCCCGCAGCUGGCCCUGCCCACAAGUCUACACUGGAGCUGGUGCUGGGGGUGCAGAUCUGCUGCCCACUGGGUACAUGCAGCACAAACUGAGCUCUGGGGGUGGCCUCUUGCCCCACGGCAGCUCAGUCCAGCUGUAGCAGCUCCCGGCAAAUGGUGCCCAGCAGCCAUGGCCUGCCACAUCAUGCACACCCUGCCCAGCUGCCAGUUUCAUCAGGCAGGGACCCCUGGGCCUGGGCCCAGCUGGCCUGUGUGUUAAUCUACCUAUGUGUAUGAAUAUAUAUUGUAUAUAUAAUUCAAUCAAUGUGUUUGAAUCUAUAUAUCAAUAUAUUUGCAUUUGCCAGAGUAAGUCUGACCAGUAAACCUGACUCCUCACAUAAAUAAAACUUGGUAUGUGGGCCAGAUGUGCAUACCUACUAAAAGAUGGGAGGGGGAGAUGGUUUUACAAGGUGUAGGAUAGUCCAGUACCAGGAUGAUGAGGCUGGAAUGGGAACAACCAGGUCAGGAUGUGAAACAAGCCCAUGGUACAGGAUAGUUUGAGAUGUUAAAGAUACAGAUGAAAUGGAAUAUGUAAUUUGUUUUCACCCUUGUAUAAAAGGAGGGUUAGAAAGUAUAGGAACUUUGUAGCAGCCUGGGAGAUGCUGCAUGGUGUUGUGCUACCUUGUUACAGAUACAAAUAUUAAUUAAUUCCUUGUCUGUUGUACUUGUUAGACCAAAAUGUGUUAGGGCUGUACUUGUAUACAAUAAACCUUGCCAAAAUCUUUGCCACCAAACUGAACCCAUGGUUGUUCUUUAAGACAAGACUGGUGUA